AGAAUCAACGCUGGCGGCGUGCCUAACACAUGCAAGUCGAACGAGAAAGUGGAGCAAUCCAUGAGUAAAGUGGCGCACGGGUGAGUAACACGUGACUAACCUACCCUUGAGUGGGGGGAUAACCUAGAGAAAUCUGGGCUAAUACCGCAUAAUACCUUCGGGUCAAAGGAGCAAUUCGCUUAAGGAGGGGGUCGCGGCCGAUUAGUUAGUUGGCGGGGUAAUGGCCCACCAAGACUAUGAUCGGUAUCC
RNAcentral lists this ribosomal RNA (249 nucleotides) under uncultured bacterium. RNAcentral's name for it is "partial small subunit ribosomal RNA". It matches the Rfam family "Bacterial small subunit ribosomal RNA", at positions 26 to 288 of the family's 1533-position model. The record is from RNAcentral.